UCCAGACUCCUACGGGAGGCAGCAGUGAGGAAUAUUGGUCAAUGGUCGGGAGACUGAACCAGCCAAGCCGCGUGAGGGAUGAAGGUACAGAGUAUCGUAAACCUCUUUUGUCAGGGAACAAAGGCGGGGACGCGUCCCCGGAUGAGUGUACCUGAAGAAAAAGCAUCGGCUAACUCCGUGCCAGCAGCCGCGGUAAUACGGGGGAUGCAAGCGUUAUCCGGAUUUAUUGGGUUUAAAGGGUGCGUAGGCUGUGAGGUAAGUCAGCGGUGAAAUGCCCCCGCUCAACGGGGUGAAGUGCCAUUGAUACUGCCUUGCUGGAAUGCGGAUGCCGUGGGAGGAAUGUGUGGUGUAGCGGUGAAAUGCAUAGAUAUCACACAGAACACCGAUUGCGAAGGCAUCUCACGAAUCCGCGAUUGACGCUGAUGCACGAAAGCGUGGGUAUCAAACAGGAUUAGAUACCCCGGUA
This 466-nucleotide ribosomal RNA is filed under the name uncultured bacterium. RNAcentral describes it as "bacterial SSU rRNA". It matches the Rfam family "Bacterial small subunit ribosomal RNA", at positions 330 to 792 of the family's 1533-position model. The record is from RNAcentral.